RNAcentral lists this ribosomal RNA (460 nucleotides) under uncultured bacterium. Its description in RNAcentral is "partial 16S ribosomal RNA". It matches the Rfam family "Bacterial small subunit ribosomal RNA", at positions 338 to 795 of the family's 1533-position model. The record is from RNAcentral.
CCUACGGGAGGCAGCAGUGAGGAAUAAUGGUCAAUGGGCGCUAGCCUGAACCAGCGAAGUAGCGUGAAGGAUGACUGCCCUAUGGAUUGUACACUUCUUUUAUAUGGGAAUAAAGUGCAGUAUGUAUACUGCUUGACAUGUACAUUAUGAAUAAGGAUCGGCUAACUCCGUGCCAGCAGCCGCGGUAAUACGGAGGAUCCGAGCUUUACACGGAUUGAUUGGGUUUAAAGGGAGCGUAGGCUGGUUGUUAAGUCAGUUGUGAAAGUUUGCGGCUCAACCGUAAAAUUGUAGUUGAUACUGGCAUCCUUGAGUACAGUAGAGGGAGGCGGAAGUCGUGGUGUAGCGGUGAAAUGCGUAGAUAUCACGAAGAACUCUGAUUGCGAAGGCAGCCUGCUGGACUGUAACUGACGCUGAUGCUCGAAAGUGUGGGUAUCAAACAGGAUUAGAUACCCUUGUAGUC